Molecule: ribosomal RNA, 255 nt
Filed under: uncultured bacterium
Lineage: Bacteria
Description: partial 16S ribosomal RNA
Rfam family: Bacterial small subunit ribosomal RNA
Source: RNAcentral
CGGACGGGUGAGUAACGCGUGGAUAACCCGCCGUAUACUGGGGGAUAACACUUAGAAAUAGGUGCUAAUACCGCAUAAGCGCACAGUCUCGCAUGAGACGGUGUGAAAAACUCCGGUGGUAUACGAUGGAUCCGCGUCUGAUUAGCUUGUUGGCGGGGUAACAGCCCACCAAGGCGACGAUCAGUAGCCGGCCUGAGAGGGUGAACGGCCACAUUGGGACUGAGACACGGCCCAAACUCCUACGGGAGGCAGCAG